This 70-nucleotide transfer RNA is filed under the name Pyrobaculum sp. Its description in RNAcentral is "tRNA-Ser". The record is from RNAcentral. Lineage: Archaea; Thermoproteati; Thermoproteota; Thermoprotei; Thermoproteales; Thermoproteaceae.
GCCCUGCGUGGGCCUCGUAGCGAUCCCGCGAGACAGCGGGAGGUCCCGGGUUCGAAUCCCGGCCGGGGCU